UACGAAGGGGGCUAGCGUUGUUCGGAAUUACUGGGCGUAAAGGGCGCGUAGGCGGCCAACUAAGUCACACGUGAAAUCCCCAGGCUUAACCUGGGAACUGCGUGUGAUACUGGAUGGCUUGAAUUCGGGAGAGGGAUGCAGAAUUCCAGGUGUAGCGGUGAAAUGCGUAGAUAUCUGGAGGAAUACCGGUGGCGAAGGCGGCAUCCUGGACCGACAUUGACGCUGAGGCGCGAAAGCUAGGGGAGCAAACGGG
Molecule: ribosomal RNA, 253 nt
Filed under: uncultured bacterium
Lineage: Bacteria
Description: partial 16S ribosomal RNA
Rfam family: Bacterial small subunit ribosomal RNA
Source: RNAcentral